AUUGCUUCUUGGCCUUUUGGCUAAGAUCAAGUGUAGUAUCACAGGUUGCUAAUGAGUCUUCCUCCAAUCCCCACACCAUUGUUCAGCUUCUUCAGUUAACAUGAUAAAAAAAGACUGAUUAAAUGAAAGGAUACAACCUUGGCACACAUCUUUUCUGAUUUUAAAACGUGUUAUUCCUUGUUCUGUUUGGGUUACUGCCU
This is a small nuclear RNA of Echinops telfairi (small Madagascar hedgehog), 200 nucleotides long. RefSeq annotates it as U2 spliceosomal RNA. The transcript has a single exon. The record is from RefSeq and is a predicted model, not a curated record. Lineage: Eukaryota; Metazoa; Chordata; Mammalia; Afrosoricida; Tenrecidae.